UACAGGGGGUGCAAACGUUGCUCGGAAUUACUGGGCGUAAAGCGCACGUAGGCGGCUUUCUAAGUCGGGGGUGAAAUCCUGGAGCUCAACUCCAGAACUGCCUUUGAUACUGAGGAUCUUGAGUUCGGGAGAGGUGAGUGGAACUGCGAGUGUAGAGGUGAAAUUCGUAGAUAUUCGCAAGAACACCAGUGGCGAAGGCGGCUCACUGGCCCGAUACUGACGCUGAGGCACGAAAGCGUGGGGAGCAAACAGG
This 253-nucleotide ribosomal RNA is filed under the name uncultured bacterium. RNAcentral's name for it is "partial 16S ribosomal RNA". It matches the Rfam family "Bacterial small subunit ribosomal RNA", at positions 524 to 776 of the family's 1533-position model. The record is from RNAcentral.